CUCGAGUGUUACAAACAAUAGUUUUUAAGGAAUAAUGUGAAAUAAGUUAGUUUUUAUAUGAUAGAAAACUUAAUCAACAUGAUAACUUAAUAACAUUACCAGACACUAACUUAGAUGAUCCUGGAGCAAAGGCUGUAAUUUGACCUGAACCCAAAUUGGUCUCUAUUUGAAAUAUUGUCUUGAACCAAUAAGUUAAGAGGACUAAGUAACCUUUCUGGACGACAUUGCCAUCGACAUCACUGCAGAUGAGAGAGAAAGAGAGACCAGAGUUGUGGACCCUGGAGGCAAUUACCAUACUGCCGUGAUAAUGUUACUUGGUCUAACCAUAACUUAAGUGAGAACUGAAGCCUACCAGUAAAAUGGGGGCGUUGUAAUUAAUAUCCUCCGACAUUGAAGAAUACAGGGGAGAGGGGUCAGAGGAAGAGGAGAUGGAGGAUGGGGCGAAGUAAAGACUAAGAUUGAAGAGAACUAACUAAUGGUAAGUUUUGCCAUUUACUUAAAUUUAAUACUUAUAAAUCCAGGGCCGUGUCCAUUGCCCCCAAGCCUAUGUCGCAUAACCCUCCUGAAUUACUAGUAUUUAACCAGCAUUUUAACUCGAGAGGUGCCCAAAA
Macrosteles quadrilineatus (aster leafhopper) is the source of this 611-nucleotide long non-coding RNA. RefSeq lists it as uncharacterized. The transcript is spliced from 3 exons. The record is from RefSeq and is a predicted model, not a curated record. NCBI's taxonomy places the organism in Eukaryota, Metazoa, Arthropoda, Insecta, Hemiptera, Cicadellidae.